GCGAAGGUCCCAAGCGUUGUUCGGAAUCACUGGGCGUAAAGGGUGCGUAGGCGGCGUGGUAAGUCAGACGUGAAAUCCCUCGGCUCAACCGGGGAACUGCGUCUGAUACUGGGUGGCUUGAAUCCGGGAGAGGGAUGCGGAAUUCCAGGUGUAGCGGUGAAAUGCGUAGAUAUCUGGAGGAACACCGGUGGCGAAGGCGGCAUCCUGGACCGGCAUUGACGCUGAGGCGCGAAAGCCAGGGGAGCAAACGGGA
RNAcentral lists this ribosomal RNA (253 nucleotides) under uncultured prokaryote. RNAcentral describes it as "partial 16S ribosomal RNA". It matches the Rfam family "Bacterial small subunit ribosomal RNA", at positions 525 to 777 of the family's 1533-position model. The record is from RNAcentral.